RNAcentral lists this ribosomal RNA (960 nucleotides) under Triticum aestivum (bread wheat). RNAcentral describes it as "partial small subunit ribosomal RNA". Lineage: Eukaryota; Viridiplantae; Streptophyta; Magnoliopsida; Poales; Poaceae. The record is from RNAcentral.
CUUCUACAUCCACCUGAUGCUGUCCCUUCUCUUCUUCUCUAUCAGGGCAGCAUCAACCCCCUCUUCUCUGUCGGUGAGGAACUCCACUAGAGAUUGCGUUUUGGAGCUCCCUCUACUGUCGCUCGAUCUGGCCUCCCCCGCUCAGUUGUUGCCCCAUGCUCCGGAUCAUGCCACAGCAGGCCUCGCCCUGACCAACAGGCUCGGAUCCAUCCCUUCCCUCCUCCUGGCCUCCACAUGCGUAGACUGUGGCGCCAGAUCAAGGGAGCCUGCCAAUGGAGGUCGCCGCCUCUCCGUCUCGAUCGGUCCGCCGCCGGAUCCACCAUGCUGUGCCAUGGGAUGGGCGCCUUGCAGCUAGCUCCUCUGCCGUCGCCUGAUCUGCCUGCCCCCGCCCGUGCUCCAGAUUCGGCUAACAGCCUCGCCUCUGACCCGAUUCAGACAUGCACCCACAGCCUCACUCCGCCACCUGCGCCCCAGCUUGCGAGGAGGCCAGGCCGCGCCUCGUCUAGCUGCGGCCUACCUGUUGUGUCAGUCAGCCCAGCCGCCUCGACCCGGCCUUCUCCGCCCCCAGCUCCAGGCCUCAAACAACUCCCACUUUUUGGAAAUCGCGGGUCCUCCGUCGAGCGAGGGGUGCCGGUGGUGGUGGUGUUCGCUCGGUGGACUUUGUUCCAUUUUCUUCGCUCCUUCACGCUUUGUCUAUUCCUUCUGUUCCCUUUCUCUGCUUGUUUUGAUUUCUAAUGUGGCUUGCUGGUUCUCAUGGCAACUCUCGUACACAUAUAGAUUGGUGAGAAUAUAUGUAUAUCAGCGAGGCGGGACAAUUUAAUUGAAGAACAAACUAUGUACAAAGCUCGUUGUAUCUGAAUUUAGCCACCUAAAAAGGACAGCGGGUUGAAUAAUUAAAAGCAUAGGGCCUUUUUUGUAAGAACGAAACAUUUUCUUGGAGAGCCACUUAAAAUAGGACUG